CCGCGAGCUGCAGCGGGCAGAGCCCCGCGUCCGCCUGGCGCUAGGCCCCGGCCCGGGGGCAUGACUCUGUUCGGCGGCGAGGCCGGGGGCUGGAGAUAUUUGGACAUGGCCAGAGAACCCAAGCCGAGCCGAGCCAGGCCUGGACAGAAGCGGCAGCAUGGCGGUACCCUCUACCACAGUAACUGUGACCUGGACUAUGAGCUCUACAG
Molecule: long non-coding RNA, 209 nt
Filed under: Chelonoidis abingdonii (Abingdon island giant tortoise)
Lineage: Eukaryota; Metazoa; Chordata; Testudines; Testudinidae
Description: lncRNA (ENSCABG00000023072.1)
Source: RNAcentral